Molecule: ribosomal RNA, 464 nt
Filed under: uncultured bacterium
Lineage: Bacteria
Description: bacterial SSU rRNA
Rfam family: Bacterial small subunit ribosomal RNA
Source: RNAcentral
AACGAACGCUGGCGGUAGGCCUUACACAUGCAAGUCGAACGAGAAAUAUACUUCGGUAUAGAGUAAAGUGGCGGACGGGUGAGUAACGCGUAGGUAGAUAGCCAGUAGUACGGAACAACCAUUGGAAACGAUGGCUAAUACCGUAUACGCCCUUCGGGGGAAAGAUUUAUUGCUAUUGGAUUCGCCUGCGUUAGAUUAGCUAGUUGGUGGGGUAAAAGCCUACCAAGGCGACGAUCUAUAGCUGGUUUGAGAGGAUGAUCAGCCACAUCGGAACUGAGACACGGUCCGAACUCCUACGGGAGGCAGCAGUGGGGAAUAUUGCACAAUGGGGGAAACCCUGAUGCAGCCAUACCGCGUGAGUGAUGAAGGCCCUUGGGUUGUAAAGCUCUUUCACUAAUGAGGAUGAUGACGUUAAUUAGAGAAGAAGUCCCGGNUAACUUCGUGCCAGCAGCCGCCGCAGUAAU